Molecule: transfer RNA, 73 nt
Filed under: Treponema sp.
Lineage: Bacteria; Pseudomonadati; Spirochaetota; Spirochaetia; Treponematales; Treponemataceae
Description: tRNA-Pro
Rfam family: tRNA
About the family: Transfer RNA (tRNA) molecules are approximately 80 nucleotides in length. Their secondary structure includes four short double-helical elements and three loops (D, anti-codon, and T loops). Further hydrogen bonds mediate the characteristic L-shaped molecular structure. tRNAs have two regions of fundamental functional importance: the anti-codon, which is responsible for specific mRNA codon recognition, and the 3' end, to which the tRNAs corresponding amino acid is attached (by aminoacyl-tRNA synthetases). tRNAs cope with the degeneracy of the genetic code in two manners: having more than one tRNA (with a specific anti-codon) for a particular amino acid; and 'wobble' base-pairing, i.e. permitting non-standard base-pairing at the 3rd anti-codon position.
Source: RNAcentral
CGGGCAAUAGCGCAGUUGGUAGCGCGCUUGGUUCGGGACCAAGAGGUCGGCGGUUCAAAUCCACCUUGCCCGA